Molecule: ribosomal RNA, 497 nt
Filed under: uncultured bacterium
Lineage: Bacteria
Description: partial 16S ribosomal RNA
Rfam family: Bacterial small subunit ribosomal RNA
Source: RNAcentral
GAUGAACGCUGGCGGCGUGCCUAAUACAUGCAAGUCGAGCGGACAGACGAGGAGCUUGCUCCUCUGACGUUAGCGGCGGACGGGUGAGUAACACGUGGAUAACCUACCUAUAAGACUGGGAUAACUUCGGGAAACCGGAGCUAAUACCGGAUAAUAUAUUGAACCGCAUGGUUCAAUAGUGAAAGACGGUUUUGCUGUCACUUAUAGAUGGAUCCGCGCCGCAUUAGCUAGUUGGUAAGGUAACGGCUUACCAAGGCAACGAUGCGUAGCCGACCUGAGAGGGUGAUCGGCCACACUGGAACUGAGACACGGUCCAGACUCUUACGGGAGGCAGCAGUAGGGAAUCUUCCGCAAUGGGCGAAAGCCUGACGGAGCAACGCCGCGUGAGUGAUGAAGGUCUUCGGAUCGUAAAACUCUGUUAUUAGGGAAGAACAAAUGUGUAAGUAACUAUGCACGUCUUGACGGUACCUAAUCAGAAAGCCACGGCUAACUACGUG